GGGAUUCUCUUAUUCAUUACCUCACAACAAUAUAUCACCAUUAAUCUUUGCAUAUAUAAACAAAUGAAGUUGAUUUUUCAUAUAACCAUAAAUUACACAAUGGCAUGAUUCUUCUCAUCGUCUAAGGGCAAAUAUACAAAUUCGUCUGAAAACUUGCCUUCGAUUCCCUCCAAGGUUAAUUUUCCUCCAUUAAAGUCGUUGCAAUACAAAUACAGAAGCACGUAACUCUCUCAUCCCAGACGAUGCCAGUACCCACCACAUCAUAGUACCCCCUUACUCAAUAGCAUGAUUUUUUCUCAUUGUCUACAUACUCAUUAGCUCCGGUGAACUUGUCUCCGCUCUCCAAUAGCAACUUUUCACCAUUGAAGAAUUGUUCUUUACAAUACAUGUACAAAGCUACAUUCUUUAGAAGAUGGUAAUUCAUCAUAAGAGAUCCCGCCACAACCGCCAAUAUCACCACCAAGCUACCACGGGCAACACCCACCGCGACUGGAAUAAUGGAAUGAGUAACCACCAACAGUCCCAUUAAAAGCCCGUCAAACAGCAUCGUGUACGAAGCUAUCCAUCUCUUCCCCUUUAACAAAUUCGCACUUCUCCUCAAUGCUUCGAAACCAAACUUAGAUUCAACCACUGCUAUCACAUAAGCUAAUAACCAAUUCACCUGUAGCCAAAGAAGAAUCGGUACAAUCACAAUCAACGAGAAAAAACACAAAUAUAAAAAGUGAUUCAGGUCGUAUUUGAGUUCAAUUAAUCCGAUAGAUCGAAGAAUUUGGACUAGGAAAACUACGACUAUAACGAAAAACAGAGCAAUUGAAAUGAGAAUGGUAUGAGAGAGGAUAAAAGUUGAGAGAAGAGGAAAGAAGGAAUUUCUAAUAGAUUUAACAGAGGAAAGAAGAUUGAUCGGUUUAUCGCACAAUGCUUGAGCAGCACUGUGUGUAAUAGUGGCUACGGCACAGAGGUAAAAUAGGGAUAUACAGAGAGUGUAUAGUAUGGGUAAGACAAUUUCGAAACUGGAAAUGGGAAGGUAGUGAGAGUCAAGUUGGUAGAAAUUGUAGUCGGGAUGAAAGAGGGCGAGGUGGAAAGAAGGAUAUACGAUGAGAGUGAACAAUGGUAAGAAGAAGAGAAUUGAAAGUCCAUGGAGAUGUCGAGGGUGAGACUUCAUUAUGCGGUGAAUUGGUUUCAGGAUCUCUACCCGUUGGCUACCAUUUUCGGUAGGAGUAGACAUCGGAGUUAAGUGAGAAGAAGAAGACGACAACCACUACAAUUGCUUCAGCAGGAGCUGCUGCCCAAGAUGUGUGUGAAAACUGAAGGUAAAACAGUACACAAGUAUUAUUUCCUUUUGGCUUAUCCUACAACUCUUGUGGUUCCUAG
This 1371-nucleotide unclassified non-coding RNA is filed under the name Hevea brasiliensis (rubber tree). Lineage: Eukaryota; Viridiplantae; Streptophyta; Magnoliopsida; Malpighiales; Euphorbiaceae. The record is from RNAcentral.